GAUCAAAGUGUAGUAUCUGUUCUUAUCAGCUUAAUAUCUGAUAUUUCCCCCAUUGGGGGAUUUCGAUAUUAAACUGAUUUUUGGAACUGGGAGAAGAUGCUGGGGCUUGCUCCGACUUCUCCACGGGUUGGCC
Molecule: small nuclear RNA, 133 nt
Filed under: Sternaspis sp.
Lineage: Eukaryota; Metazoa; Annelida; Polychaeta; Terebellida; Sternaspidae
Description: partial U2 small nuclear RNA
Rfam family: U2 spliceosomal RNA
About the family: U2 is a small nuclear RNA (snRNA) component of the spliceosome (involved in pre-mRNA splicing). Complementary binding between U2 snRNA (in an area lying towards the 5' end but 3' to hairpin I) and the branchpoint sequence (BPS) of the intron results the bulging out of an unpaired adenosine, on the BPS, which initiates a nucleophilic attack at the intronic 5' splice site, thus starting the first of two transesterification reactions that mediate splicing.
Source: RNAcentral